AUACGGAGGGUGCAAGCGUUAAUCGGAAUUACUGGGCGUAAAGCGUACGUAGGCGGUCCGUUAAGUUAGAUGUGAAAGCCCCGGGCUUAACCUGGGAACUGCAUUUAAAACUGGCGGACUAGAGUUGAGUAGAGGGGAGUGGAAUUUCAGGUGUAGCGGUGAAAUGCGUAGAGAUCAGAAGGAACACCAGUGGCGAAGGCGACUCCCUGGACUCGAACUGACGCUCAGGUACGAAAGCGUGGGUAGCAAACGGGAUUAGAAACCCCAGUAGUCC
Molecule: ribosomal RNA, 274 nt
Filed under: uncultured bacterium
Lineage: Bacteria
Description: partial 16S ribosomal RNA
Rfam family: Bacterial small subunit ribosomal RNA
Source: RNAcentral